This 61-nucleotide transfer RNA is filed under the name Rhamnusium bicolor. RNAcentral's name for it is "tRNA-OTHER". The record is from RNAcentral. Lineage: Eukaryota; Metazoa; Arthropoda; Insecta; Coleoptera; Cerambycidae.
GUGGUCCAGUGGUAAGGACACUUGCCUCUCACCCUGGAGUCCUAGGUUCGAUCCACGGACG